UGGCCGUAAACGAUGUGGACUUGGUGUUGGAAUGGCUCCGAGCUGCUCCAGUGCCGAAGGGAAGCUGUUAAGUCCACCGCCUGGGAAGUACGGUCGCAAGACUGAAACUUAAAGGAAUUGGCGGGGAGCACCACAACGGGUGGUGCCUGCGGUUUAAUUAGGACUCAACGCCGGGAAGCUCACCGGAUAAGACAGCGGAAUGAUUGCCGGGCUGAAGACCCUGCAUGACCAGCUGAGAGGUGGUGCAUGGCGUAGUCGUGU
Molecule: ribosomal RNA, 261 nt
Filed under: uncultured archaeon
Lineage: Archaea
Description: partial 16S ribosomal RNA
Rfam family: Archaeal small subunit ribosomal RNA
Source: RNAcentral